CAGCAUGAGAAACGGCUACCACAUCUAAGGAAGGCAGGAGGCGCGUAAAUUACCCAAUCCUGACUCAGGGAGGUAGUGACAAGAAAUAGCAAACCGGGGAUCUCACGAUCUUACAGUAUUGCAAUGAGAACAAUUUAAAACACUUAGCGAGGAACAAAUUGAGGACAAGUCUGGUGCCAGCACCCACGGUAAUUCCAGCUCAAUUAGCGUAUAUUAAAGUUGUUGCAGUUAAAAAGCUCGUAGUUGAACCUCUGUUUGGGACUAAUUUUGGCUUCUGUCAGGUUAGUUUCAAGCAUCCGCUUGCAAAACCUAGCCGUCAUUCACUUGUCGCUAGGAGGAGCAGGCAUUUUACUUUGAAAAAAUUAGAGUGUUUAAGGCAGGCAAUUGCCCGCAUAUAUUAGCAUGGAAUAAUAGAAUAGGACACUUUUCCAUUUCGUUGGUUAUUGGAAUCGUGUAAUGAUUAAUAGGGACAGUUGUGGGCAUUUGUAUUUAAUUGUCAGAUGUGAAAUACUUGGAUUUAUUAAAGACAAACUAACGCGAAAGCAUUUGCCAAGGAUGUUUUCAUUAACCAAGAACGAAAGUUAGGGGAUCAAAGACGAUCAGAUACCGUCAUAGUCUUAACUAUAAACUAUUCCGACUCAAUGUUCGACUGGCUUAUAUAACCAGUUGAGCGUUGUAUGAGAAAUCAAAGUCUUUAGGUUCUGGGGGGAGUAUGGUUGCAAAGCUGAAACUUAAAGGAAUUGACGGAAGAGCACAACCAGGAGUGGAUUCUGCGGCUUAAUUUGACUCAACACGGGGAAACUUACCAGGUUAAAACAAUAGUGGGAUUGACAGUUUGAGAGCGCUUUCUUGAUUCGUUGGGUGGUGGUGCAUGGCCGUUCUUAGUUGGUGGAGUGAUUUGUCUGCUUAAUUGCGUUAACGAACGAGACCUUAACCUGCUUACUAGACUGCCGAUGUAUAAUCGACAGCUCUUCUUAGAGGGACUUUGGUUGUUUUAACUUCAAGGAAGUUUGAGGCAAUAACAGGUCUGUGAUGCCCUUAGAUAUCCUGGGCCGCACGCGUCAUACAAUGACCAGUUCAGAAAGUUUCAUCCUGAUCCGGAAGGAUACGGGUAAUCUUGACAGUACUGGUCGUGUUAGGGAUCGAUCUUUGCAAUUAUAGAUUUUGAACGAGGAAUUCCUAGUAAGUGCAGUUCAUCAGACUGUACUGAUUACGUCCCUGCUCUUUGUACACACCGCCCGUCGCUUCUACCGAGCGAGUGGUCCGGUGAGAUACUUGAACUUGGCCGGAUUUAUCCGAUCGGGGAAGAUUAUCAAACCUAUCCACUUCGAGGAAGAAGAAGUCGUAACAAGGUU
Molecule: ribosomal RNA, 1355 nt
Filed under: metagenome
Description: SSU rRNA
Rfam family: Eukaryotic small subunit ribosomal RNA
Source: RNAcentral